CAGCGGGUCACGUCCCCCCACCGGGACGCUUUUCUUCUGCAAGGGAGACCGAU
Regulatory RNA element from Acidiphilium rubrum, 53 nucleotides. It matches the Rfam family "serC leader". Rfam says of the family: This family is a putative regulatory RNA structure that is found upstream of the serC-serA operon in some alpha-proteobacteria. Lineage: Bacteria; Pseudomonadati; Pseudomonadota; Alphaproteobacteria; Acetobacterales; Acidocellaceae. The record is from Rfam.